Molecule: non-coding RNA, 67 nt
Submitted as: unclassified sequences
Source: Rfam
GGCCACCUUCGGGGGGCUAUUACAUAGGCGGGGCAGGGCCCUGCCGUUAGCAAACGGAAGACAGAAA